CUGCCUAUUAGUGGGGGAAACAUUCCGAAAGGAAUGCUAAUACCGCAUACGUCCUACGGGAGAAAGCAGGGGACCUUCGGGCCUUGCGCUAAUAGAUGAGCCUAAGUCGGAUUAGCUAGUUGGUGGGGUAAAGGCCUACCAAGGCGACGAUCUGUAGCGGGUCUGAGAGGAUGAUCCGCCACACUGGGACUGAGACACGGCCCAGACUCCUACGGGAGGCAGCAGUGGGGAAUAUUGGACAAUGGGGGGAACCCUGAUCCAGCCAUGCCGCGUGUGUGAAGAAGGCCUUAUGGUUGUAAAGCACUUUAAGCGAGGAGGAGGCUACUAGUAUUAAUACUACUGGAUAGUGGACGUUACUCGCAGAAUAAGCACCGGCUAACUCUGUGCCAGCAGCCGCGGUAAUACAGAGGGUGCGAGCGUUAAUCGGAUUUACUGGGCGUAAAGCGUGCGUAGGCGGCCAUUUAAGUCAAAUGUGAAAUCCCCGAGCUUAACUUGGGAAUUGCAUUCGAUACUGGAUGGCUAGAGUAUGGGAGAGGAUGGUAGAAUUCCAGGUGUAGCGGUGAAAUGCGUAGAGAUCUGGAGGAAUACCGAUGGCGAAGGCAGCCAUCUGGCCUAAUACUGACGCUGAGGUACGAAAGCAUGGGGAGCAAACAGGAUUAGAUACCCUGGUAGUCCAUGCCGUAAACGAUGUCUACUAGCCGUUGGGGCCUUUGAGCUUUAGUGCGCAGCUAACGCGAUAAGUAGACCGCCUGGGGAGUACGGUCGCAAGG
This 770-nucleotide ribosomal RNA is filed under the name Acinetobacter venetianus. RNAcentral describes it as "bacterial SSU rRNA". It matches the Rfam family "Bacterial small subunit ribosomal RNA", at positions 126 to 893 of the family's 1533-position model. Lineage: Bacteria; Pseudomonadati; Pseudomonadota; Gammaproteobacteria; Moraxellales; Moraxellaceae. The record is from RNAcentral.